UCCCCAUUGCCGCGUUGCUAUACAUGCAAGUCGAACGACUCUGGUAUUGAUUGGUGCUUGCAUCAUGAUUUACAUUUGAGUGAGUGGCGAACUGGUGAGUAACACGUGGGAAACCUGCCCAGAAGCGGGGGAUAACACCUGGAAACAGAUGCUAAUACCGCAUAACAACUUGGACCGCAUGGUCCGAGCUUGAAAGAUGGCUUCGGCUAUCACUUUUGGAUGGUCCCGCGGCGUAUUAGCUAGAUGGUGGGGUAACGGCUCACCAUGGCAAUGAUACGUAGCCGACCUGAGAGGGUAAUCGGCCACAUUGGGACUGAGACACGGCCCAAACUCCUACGGGAGGCAGCAGUAGGGAAUCUUCCACAAUGGACGAAAGUCUGAUGGAGCAACGCCGCGUGAGUGAAGAAGGGUUUCGGCUCGUAAAACUCUGUUGUUAAAGAAGAACAUAUCUGAGAGUAACUGUAGUAACUGUCAGGUAUGACGUAUUUAACCAGAAAGCCACGGCUAACUACGUGCCAGCAGCCGCGGUAAUACGUAGGUGGCAAGCGUGUCCGGAUUUAUUGGGCGUAAAGCGAGCGCAGGCGGUUUUUUAAGUCUGAUGUGAAAGCCUUCGGCUCAACCGAAGAAGUGCAUCGGAAACUGGGAAACUUGAGUGCAGAAGAGGACAGUGGAACUCCAUGUGUAGCGGUGAAAUGCGUAGAUAUAUGGAAGAACACCAGUGGCGAAGGCGGCUGUCUGGUCUGUAACUGACGCUGAGGCUCGAAAGUAUGGGUAGCAAACAGGAUUAGAUACCCUGGUAGUCCAUACCGUAAACGAUGAAUGCUAAGUGUUGGAGGGUUUCCGCCCUUCAGUGCUGCAGCUAACGCAUUAAGCAUUCCGCCUGGGGAGUACGGCCGCAAGGCUGAAACUCAAAGGAAUUGACGGGGGCCCGCACAAGCGGUGGAGCAUGUGGUUUAAUUCGAAGCUACGCGAAGAACCUUACCAGGUCUUGACAUACUAUGCAAAUCUAAGAGAUUAGACGUUCCCUUCGGGGACAUGGAUACAGGUGGUGCAUGGUUGUCGUCAGCUCGUGUCGUGAGAUGUUGGGUUAAGUCCCGCAACGAGCGCAACCCUUAUUAUCAGUUGCCAGCAUUAAGUUGGGCACUCUGGUGAGACUGCCGGUGACAAACCGGAGGAAGGUGGGGAUGACGUCAAAUCAUCAUGCCCCUUAUGACCUGGGCUACACACGUGCUACAAUGGAUGGUACAACGAGUUGCGAACUCGCGAGAGUAAGCUAAUCUCUUAAAGCCAUUCUCAGUUCGGAUUGUAGGCUGCAACUCGCCUACAUGAAGUCGGAAUCGCUAGUAAUCGCGGAUCAGCAUGCCGCGGUGAAUACGUUCCCGGGCCUUGUACACACCGCCCGUCACACCAUGAGAGUUUGUAACACCCAAAGUCGGUGGGGUAACCUUUUAGGAACCAGCCGCCUAAGGUGGGACAGAUGAUUAGGGUGAAGUCGAUCAAGAAGCUAACCCAC
RNAcentral lists this ribosomal RNA (1513 nucleotides) under Lactiplantibacillus plantarum. RNAcentral describes it as "bacterial SSU rRNA". It matches the Rfam family "Bacterial small subunit ribosomal RNA". Lineage: Bacteria; Bacillati; Bacillota; Bacilli; Lactobacillales; Lactobacillaceae. The record is from RNAcentral.